AAGGAUCAUUAUCACAUGAUUCCAUGUAUAAACCAUUCGUGCACUGUUAAACAACUGAAACCCCCUUUAAACUUUUGAACUAACGUUUUCAUACUCCAAUAAAACGGAGAUGAAAUUCUUACGAAACAAAGAACAACUCUUAGCAACGGAUAUCUUGGUUCUC
This 163-nucleotide unclassified non-coding RNA is filed under the name uncultured fungus. Its description in RNAcentral is "partial contains 5.8S ribosomal RNA, internal transcribed spacer 2, and large subunit ribosomal RNA". Lineage: Eukaryota; Fungi. The record is from RNAcentral.